GGAUGACACUGGAUUGUAGCCAGUGAGACCUUGAAGCAGAGACUCCUGAUAAGCUGCCCUUGGAUUGCACCAGUGGAAACUAUGAAACAAGAAAAGAAACUAAACUUACAGGAAAUGAUUAAGCAGAACAAAUAUAUCCAGAUAAUAAUUUCAUUCAUCAUGACUAAUCUAGUUGACUGAGCCGAAAUCAAGUUCUAUGACUGAAAGAUAUCAGCCAUUGAUACCUGAAAGUCAACAGAAAUGCAGCAAGCUCUUGAAGGAAUAUCAAAUUCAACUCAUGAAUACUUUUAAAUAACUUCAGAUUAUAUAUGGGCUUACUUUGAAUUCAUGAG
Ictidomys tridecemlineatus (thirteen-lined ground squirrel) is the source of this 332-nucleotide non-coding RNA. NCBI's taxonomy places the organism in Eukaryota, Metazoa, Chordata, Mammalia, Rodentia, Sciuridae. The record is from RefSeq and is a predicted model, not a curated record.